CGUGUAGGUGGCCUGUUAAGUGGCGCGUGAAAGCCUGCGGCUCAACCGCAGGACGUCGUGUCAGACUGGCGGGCUUGAGGGUGGCAGAGGGUGAUGGAAUUCCCGGUGUAGCGGUGAAAUGCGUAGAUAUCGGGAGGAACGCCAGUGGCGAAAGCGGUCACCUGGGCCAUCCCUGACGCUGAGACGCGAAAGCUGGGGGAGCGAACGGGAUUAGAUACCCCGGUAGUCCCAGCCGUAAACGAUGCUCACUAGGUGUUGGGGGGUUACUCCCUCAGUGCCGCAGUUAACGCAUUAAGUGAGCCGCCUGGGGAGUACGGCCGCAAGGCUAAA
RNAcentral lists this ribosomal RNA (330 nucleotides) under uncultured bacterium. Its description in RNAcentral is "bacterial SSU rRNA". It matches the Rfam family "Bacterial small subunit ribosomal RNA", at positions 568 to 898 of the family's 1533-position model. The record is from RNAcentral.